CUUGCCAAAAACUAUUCCAAGACUCUGCCCAAUUCACUCCUCAAACCUCCAUCACCUACAAGACCGUGACCACCAUCCAUCCAUCAAUCUACGAAGCUCUUAGGCGCUGAGUCAAGGACGCUCCACCACCAUAGCAGAGACGAGUUCAUCACCUUGUUGCUAAGCUGCUGAGGAAAGCUUCAAAGUGGUUAAAUUGUGAGGCUAUUUCAGCCGCAUCACAACCAGAACCGGCCGGAAACAUACCGAACCGGCCACCGGAAGCUCUAAACCACCCGCAACAAAUAUUCUAUCGGUUCACCACCUUCCAGACAUCCAAUUGCUACCAAAUUUUGCCAGCAGAAGCGUCUUGAUCCCAAGAUACUGGAACCGGAACCAGAACGUCUGGAACCAGCCAAAAAUUGACCGGACCAAUCUCGGAACUGUUGCACCUCUUGAACCGGCAAAUCCUCUUCUCAAGAAAAAAAAAAAAAAGGAGGAGGACAAGCCGCAGCCCAAGCCGCGUUAAGCCCAGAAGUAGGUGCGGCCCACUGCAGAAGAAAAAAAAAAAAGGAGGCAGCUCACUGGCCCACUCACGCAGCCCAGCCCACAGGUCAACCAACUCAGGCCACCUCCGGCCACCGGCAUCUUUUCUGGCCAGAUUUCCGGCGACUUUCCGAUUACUAUUUCGAGGGGAGACCAAAAGCCAAACUGUGGGGGUUCAUGCUCACUCCAAGCAUGGAGCUUGUUGAGAUCUCCAAACUUAGAGUUUGUAGAGAAUUUAUGAUCGAUCACUUACAUCAUUGUUUCGAUCUAAUCCAAUUCCUCUUGGAAUCAGAUUUCUUGGAAGCGACUAUGCUAAAAAAUCCUAAUUUCUUGGAAGCGAUUACGCUCAGAAAUUCAUAAUUUCUUAGGAGUGACUACGCUAAAAAAAUUUAUAUGUUUUCAGAGCAUAUUCCGGAAUCCAAUUAUAGUCGCACCCCUGAGGGAGGACGUUCUGGUUCAUAUUCUCGCUCUAAUGAGGAAGGUAACCGCCAAAAUAGGCGAACACAUAACCGAAAAGGUUAACGUGGAAAGAGAGAUGGAGGCACGCCUCUAGCCAUGUUGGUGGCGCCACCAACACUAAGAGCCAUCCAAAUGACACUUUCAAAGUGCCUCAAUCAAUGGAGUCUGAGCAUAAAGAUGUAUCAUGUAUGUUCUUACAUAGAAUCCAUGGGGAUUCUGUGGACUAAUUCAACCAACUUGCGGACGUUUAAAUAUUUCAUGAUGUUGGUUGACACACAAACACACUGGUCACGUGGUGUGCCAUUGUCCACCUAUAAAUGUUGCUUAUGCUACACUCCUAGCACAUAUCAUAUGACAACGGGCUCACUCCCCGGAUCAUCUUAUUCAGUCAAUUGGAUUUGACAAUGCUAGAGAGUUUACAUCGAAGACUUUCGAUGGUUAUUGCAAUGGGACUGAUGUUGGACAUCAUAUUCUCAUGAACACACCCAAAUGGUCUCGCGGAAAUGACAACGAUGGUAACCCGGAUAUUGGUAAUGUGCACCAAUCUCCUUAUAUCUGCUUGGGUGAUGCAAUAUUGCAUGCAACUAUGCUAAUUCGUCAACAACCCACUGCCACUCAAUCUAUCUCUACGUUACAGCUAGUGGCUGAGUACAAGUAUUUCGUACUUACGCACAUUUGAGUGAGCCAUUUAUGUGCCAAUUGCACCGCCACAGCACACUAUGAUGGGUCCUUACAGACGAAUGGGCAACUACGUUGGAUUUGAUAUUCCAACAAUCGUCCGCCACUUUAUGCCCUUGCUAGGCCUCUUUACCGCAUGUCUUGCUGAUUGUCACUUUGAUGAGACAGUCUUCCCGUCGUUAGGAGGAGAUAAGAAAACGGAUAUUCAACAGGAACAACAGGAAUUGUUGUGGUCUGUCCCCACUAUGUCUUAUCUCGAUCCCCACUAAAGUGACGAGAUCACACAUAUCUGCUGCAAACAUGUCUGCAAGGAUGGACGUCCCUACGAGAGGACGUAGUGCCACCUUACACGGAGGUAGGCAUGGUGCCAACGUCAUAGAGAGUGACACUCUGACGUUACGGGCCAUGGCCUCAGUUAGGAUGUGAGGGAGGCCCGUGCACUCCACUACCCUGUCAGUUUGGUAGUUUCAGAAUAACUGAACAUGGAGCUUACGAAUGUGGUCACUACGUAUCUCUAUGGGGAUCUAGAUACGGAAUAUACAUGAAGGUUCAUGGUGAACGUCAUUUACCCAAGUCAAGUGGCUCUAGAUCACAGAGCGCGUUUUACACAAAGAGGUUGAAACGCUCACUAAAGUGACUACUUGAUUGGGAAGGGAUAUGCCCACGCGUUUCCAUAACAAGUUUCAGAUUCUA
Rosa rugosa (rugosa rose) is the source of this 2352-nucleotide long non-coding RNA. RefSeq lists it as uncharacterized. The transcript has 3 exons. The record is from RefSeq and is a predicted model, not a curated record. NCBI's taxonomy places the organism in Eukaryota, Viridiplantae, Streptophyta, Magnoliopsida, Rosales, Rosaceae.